AGAGUUUGAUCCUGGCUCAGGAUGAACGCCGGCGGUGUGCCUAAUACAUGCAAGUCGUACGCACUGGCCCAACUGAUUGAUGGUGCUUGCACCUGAUUGACGAUGGAUCACCAAUGAGUGGCGGACGGGUGAGUAACACGUAGGUAACCUGCCCCAGAGCGGGGGAUAACAUUUGGAAACAGAUGCUAAUACCGCAUAACAACAAAAACCACAUGGCUUUUGUUUGAAAGAUGGCCUUGGCUAUCACUCUGGGAUGGACCUGCGGUGCAUUAGCUAGUUGGUAAGGUAACGGCUUACCAAGGCGAUGAUGCAUAGCCGAGUUGAGAGACUGAUCGGCCACAAUGGAACUGAGACACGGUCCAUACUCCUACGGGAGGCAGCAGUAGGGAAUCUUCCACAAUGGGCGCAAGCCUGAUGGAGCAACACCGCGUGAGUGAAGAAGGGUUUCGGCUCGUAAAGCUCUGUUGUUGGAGAAGAACGUGCGUGAGAGUAACUGUUCACGCAGUGACGGUAUCCAACCAGAAAGUCACGGCUAACUACGUGCCAGCAGCCGCGGUAAUACGUAGGUGGCAAGCGUUAUCCGGAUUUAUUGGGCGUAAAGCGAGCGCAGGCGGUUGCUUAGGUCUGAUGUGAAAGCCUUCGGCUUAACCGAAGAAGUGCAUCGGAAACCGGGCGACUUGAGUGCAGAAGAGGACAGUGGAACUCCAUGUGUAGCGGUGGAAUGCGUAGAUAUAUGGAAGAACACCAGUGGCGAAGGCGGCUGUCUGGUCUGCAACUGACGCUGAGGCUCGAAAGCAUGGGUAGCGAACAGGAUUAGAUACCCUGGUAGUCCAUACCGUAAACGAUGAGUGCUAGGUGUUGGAGGGUUUCCGCCCUUCAGUGCCGGAGCUAACGCAUUAAGCACUCCGCCUGGGGAGUACGACCGCAAGGUUGAAACUCAAAGGAAUUGACGGGGGCCCGCACAAGCGGUGGAGCAUGUGGUUUAAUUCGAAGCUACGCGAAGAACCUUACCAGGUCUUGACAUCUUGCGCUAACCUUAGAGAUAAGGCGUUCCCUUCGGGGACGCAAUGACAGGUGGUGCAUGGUCGUCGUCAGCUCGUGUCGUGAAAUGUUGGGUUAAGUCCCGCAACGAGCGCAACCCUUGUUACUAGUUGCCAGCAUUAAGUUGGGCACUCUAGUGAGACUGCCGGUGACAAACCGGAGGAAGGUGGGGACGACGUCAGAUCAUCAUGCCCCUUAUGACCUGGGCUACACACGUGCUACAAUGGACGGUACAACGAGUCGCAAGCUCGCGAGAGUAAGCUAAUCUCUUAAAGCCGUUCUCAGUUCGGACUGUAGGCUGCAACUCGCCUACACGAAGUCGGAAUCGCUAGUAAUCGCGGAUCAGCAUGCCGCGGUGAAUACGUUCCCGG
This 1412-nucleotide ribosomal RNA is filed under the name uncultured bacterium. Its description in RNAcentral is "bacterial SSU rRNA". It matches the Rfam family "Bacterial small subunit ribosomal RNA", at positions 8 to 1377 of the family's 1533-position model. The record is from RNAcentral.